RNAcentral lists this ribosomal RNA (293 nucleotides) under uncultured bacterium. RNAcentral describes it as "partial 16S ribosomal RNA". The record is from RNAcentral.
GGACUACUGGGGUUUCUAAUCCCAUUCGCGACCCACGCUUUCGUGUUUCAGCGUCAGGAGCGGCCCAGUCUCUUGCCUUCGCUUUUGGUGUUCCCCUAGAUAUCAACGCAUUUCACCGCUACACCUAGAGUUCCAGAGACCUCUGCCGUCCUCUUAGCCAUGCCGUUUCCCACGCAGCUCUCCGGUUGAGCCGGAGAAUUUAACGCGAGACUAACAUGACCGCCUACACACCCUUUACGCCCAAUGAUUCCGGAUAACGCUCGAAGCACUCGUAUUACCGCGGCUGCUGGCAC